Molecule: non-coding RNA, 72 nt
Organism: Phrynosoma platyrhinos (Desert horned lizard)
Lineage: Eukaryota; Metazoa; Chordata; Lepidosauria; Squamata; Phrynosomatidae
Source: the annotation of a GenBank genome assembly
UGCAGCAUGGCAUAGUGGUUUGAGUGUUGGACUACAACUCUUGGAACCAGAGUUCGAUUCGCUGCUCAGCCA